AUUGAACGCUGGCGGCAUGCUUUACACAUGCAAGUCGAACGGCAGCACGGGGGCAGCCCUGGUGGCGAGUGGCGAACGGGUGAGUAAUACAUCGGAACGUGCCCGGUCGUGGGGGAUAACGUAGCGAAAGUUACGCUAAUACCGCAUACGACCUGAGGAUGAAAGCGGGGGACCUUCGGGCCUCGCGCGAUCGGAGCGGCCGAUGUCAGAUUAGGUAGUUGGUGGGGUAAAGGCCUACCAAGCCGACGAUCUGUAGCUGGUCUGAGAGGACGACCAGCCACACUGGGACUGAGACACGGCCCAGACUCCUACGGGAGGCAGCAGUGGGGAAUUUUGGACAAUGGGCGCAAGCCUGAUCCAGCCAUUCCGCGUGCAGGACGAAGGCCUUCGGGUUGUAAACUGCUUUUGUACGGAACGAAAAGGCUCUGGCUAAUACCUGGGGCUCAUGACGGUACCGUAAGAAUAAGCACCGGCUAACUACGUG
RNAcentral lists this ribosomal RNA (484 nucleotides) under uncultured bacterium. RNAcentral's name for it is "partial 16S ribosomal RNA". It matches the Rfam family "Bacterial small subunit ribosomal RNA", at positions 30 to 507 of the family's 1533-position model. The record is from RNAcentral.